Molecule: non-coding RNA, 3504 nt
Organism: Podarcis lilfordi (Lilford's wall lizard)
Lineage: Eukaryota; Metazoa; Chordata; Lepidosauria; Squamata; Lacertidae
Source: the annotation of a GenBank genome assembly
AUAUACCAGUAAAUCACUGUGGCUUGCAGGAGAGCUUGUUUUGCGAAUUCCAGUGUAACCCGGAGCAGAGAUUUCAGACUGACAGCCUUGUGCUAUGGAACAGCAUGCCUGUUGAGAUAUAACAGGUGUCUCCUCUCUGCACUUUCUGGGAACAUCUGAAGACAUUUCUGCAAGCAUUCCCAGCUGGAUGAAUGCCUCCCUGGGUAUCUGUUUUGAAUUUUCUUAAUUAUUUAUCUGAUGUCAUUUUCUGUAGCUUUUAACUGUCCAUUAGCUGUUUUACUGAGGUUUCUGCAUCACCUCGAGGCAUAUGUGUGGAAGGCAAUAAAUAUAUUAAGCACACACAUUGCUAUGUGUCUGCCUGAAGACCAGGAGAUUAAGAUCAUGGGCAAAAAAAAAGAGCUUUAAGCUGAGUUUGUGAAUUGGCUAUGCCCUGACUGCAAGGACUAUUCAGGAUCUACAGCAGAGGGUCUUUCCCAAUUGGGAGAUAUUGUAUCCCACUUGGGGUUGCUAAGUUGGAUGAGGCUGUUUGUUCCCUUGCCUCCAGGUAACAUUCAGAGGCUGGCUAAUUUGGCAGCGUCUGCUGGUGCUGGGCAGUAGCUUGCUGGGAGUCCGUGAGUAUGUACAGUUCUGGCCCACCCUAAAAAGUGACUUGGACGGAACUCGAUCUGCAACUUUUGAACACCUUUGCCUUGCCUUCUGUAAGCCCAGUGUCCAGUUCCAAUUUAUAGAGGCUCUCAAAGGCUACUAGCCACAACAGCUAAGUUCUACCUCCACCAACAGAGGCAGUAUGUCUCUGAAUGCCCCUGGCUGGGAGGAAUCAAAAGCAGAAGGAGGGCUGUUGAGUUCAUGUCCUGCAUUUGCUUGGCCGCUGUGAGAACAGGAUGCUGUACCAGAUGGCUAAACCUGAUCCAACAGCCAGAUUUUUCUUAUGUUCUUCUGAGUAACAGUAAAGGAGCACUUUUGCCUUCAUGCCCCACCUGUAAGUUUCCUGGGGCCGUCGGAAGGGCCACUGUGGGAUACAGGAUACUGAUCCAGCAGAGCUGCUCUAAUCUUCUCUUUCAUGCACCCUCACCUGGAAAACAGGGGUCAGUGAGAGUCUCUAAACCCCCUACCCUGCAGGAACAGGAGUAGAACAGUCUCCCAUUCAUCCAGUUCUCUUCAGUAUUGUCUGCACUGACUGGCAGCAGCUCUCCAGGGUUUCAGGCAUGGGACCUUCCCAGCCCCACCAGGAGAUGUGGCAGAUCAAACCUGUGACCUUCUGUAUGUUCUACCAAUGAGCUACUGCCCUUCUCCCACUUGCAUGUUGGAAAGAUUCAGAACAGGUAAAAGGGAGGAUUUCCUCCCACCGUGCCUAAUUAAACUAUGGAACUCCCUCCCACAGUAGGCAGGGAUGGCCACCAGCUUGGACAGCUUUGAAAGAGGAUCAGACAGAUUCACAGAAGAGAGGGCUAUUGAUGGCUACUAGCUAUGAUGGUUAUGAUCUGCCUCCACAGCAAUGCUUCUGAAUACCAGUUGCUGGAAACUGUAAGCAUGGGGAGUGCUCUUGUGUUCAGGUCUUUCUCGAGGGUUUCCUAUUGGGGGCAUCUAGUUGGCUACUUUGAGAACACGAUUCUGGACGGGAUGGGCCACUGGGCUGAUCCAUCAGGCUCUCCUCAUGUUCUGACAUUUGCAAAUAUUAAACAGUAAGUCUGGGGAGAGUUGUGAUGUUCUUGAUGGUUCAUUAAGACCUUCACCUUCCUGCCAGACUCCUCAUUUCUCAAUCAGGCUGAGUCGGGUGUUUUGAGUGCAAGGCUGAUAUUUCUUUUUAUAGCUGCGGUAAUUAAAUCAUUUCGUUAGCAGCAGGCUUAAGGCAGGGAGCUGUUCUCCUACACAUUCCACUGCGCUGGGUCUCCAGAGCAGACUUGGGAAUGCUGGAAAGUUGUCGUGAUUUCCUGUUAGAAACAGCUGGUUGGCGGUGGGGAUGUGGGUACUCUAUUAUUUUUCUCACAACGAUUUUCACAGGCGGUGGGAACGCCAAAUAUACGUUGGUUUCUAUAGUCCUAUGAACACGUAGCUGGGAAAUUAAAGACUUAUCUCAGAGUGAACUGUGCUGUUAAAUCAACUCAAGGCCAAGCUGUCAUGCACGUUCCUCGUUAAAAUAAUUAUCUUGGGGACUUUUUCUUGUUGAACUAUUUUUCUUAGCUCAGUGAUAGAGCAUCUGCCUUGUAUGUAGAAGAUCCCAGGUUUGAACUCCAAUGGCAUCUCCAGAAAGGGCUGGGAAAGACUGCUUGCCUGAAACCUUGGAGACUCACUGCCAGUCAGUGUCAACAAUACUGAGCUGAUAUAAAGCAGCCCCUUGUGUUUCCACUUACCCUUAAUUAGAAUCAUGUGGACUAGUACCUUCAUUUUCUUUUAAAGCAGUAGGAUCAUAGCUCACAGGCAGAGAACAUGAUUUGCAUGCAGAUAGUCCCAGGUUCAAGACUCAACAUCUCCAGAUAAAACUGGGAAUGUCUCCUGCCUGUAACCCUGGAGAACCGCUGUCAAUCAUUGCAGACAAUCCUGAGCUGACUGGAUCAGUGGUCCGACUCUGUAUAAGGCAGGGUUCCUAGGUUCCUGUGCUCUCCUUUAACCAAGGGCACCUUGAGACAACCUAUUUACUGAGCAUUCUAUGAAGGGUGAGUAGAUGACGCUGGCUUGUAUAACAAGCAUUCACUCUGAUUUGCUUCACUAGAACUAAUGCACAUCCAAUGAAAGCUGAAUGCUGGAAGAUUCUGGGCAGAUAAAAGGAAGGACUUGUUCAUGCAGUGCAUAGUUAAACUGUGGAACUCACCUCCACAAGAAAUAGCCACCAACCUUUAAAAGAGGAUUAGACAAAUUCAUGGAGGAGAGGUCCAUCAAUGGCUACUAGCCAUGAUAGUUAUGCUCUGCAUACACUCUUUGAGUUGGGGUGGGUUUCCCUAAGAGCUCCAAAUCUAUUUCCAUGGCUCAACCUGGAUUCACAAGUAUGUGACUUAAUCUCACCCCCCAAAUAGUGACCGUCUGGAAGCUUCCUCCAUCAGAGGUGCAAAGGAGCCCAAUUCUCAUAAUGAAGACUGCAGAACUGUGAGGUUUAUAUCUUCACUGCCCCCCUGAGGUUAGAAUGGAGACAUACACACCUGCCUCCAGCAUAGCUGGAAGUCUUUUUUAAUUCUUAAUGUCCCAGUUGGCACUUGCUAAUUACUUAAUAACUUAAAAACGUGCGAGCUGCUGCCAGUCAGUGUAGACAAUACUGAGCUAAAUGGCUCAAUGGUAUGACUUGGGAUUAAGGCAUCUUCUCUUGUGUACUAAGGGAAGUGCUAAGGCUCAUAGUCCCUCUAUGGAUCUAACCAUCAGGAAACUGAAGUUUAAUAGUAGAAAAGUAAGAUCAGUAGAAAUUCACUCAGGCCCAAAUAAUGACAACAUAAACAAACUUAAAAUUCCCAAUUUCCCUGGCAGAUCACAAUGCUCCUCUUUAAAAUGGGGGAGGGGUGGCGUUCCUCUUUUAGU